This 253-nucleotide ribosomal RNA is filed under the name uncultured bacterium. RNAcentral's name for it is "partial 16S ribosomal RNA". It matches the Rfam family "Bacterial small subunit ribosomal RNA", at positions 524 to 776 of the family's 1533-position model. The record is from RNAcentral.
GACAGAGGGUGCAAACGUUGUUCGGAAUUACUGGGCGUAAAGCGCGUGUAGGCGGCUAUGCAAGUCGGAUGUGAAAGCCCUCGGCUCAACCGGGGAAGUGCACCCGAAACUGCAAAGCUAGAGUCUCGGAGAGGAUCGUGGAAUUCUCGGUGUAGUGGUGAAAUACGUAGAGAUUGGGAAGAACACCAGUGGCGAAGGCGGCUAUCUGGACGGUUUCUGACGCUAAGACGCGAAAGCGUGGGGAGCAAACAGG